GAUGAACGCUGGCGGCGUGCCUAAUACAUGCAAGUCGAACGCUGGAAAUCUAGCUUGCUAGAUUGAAGGAGUGGCGAACGGGUGAGUAAUACAUAAGCAACCUACCCACGAAGACUGGGAUAAUCUCUGGAAACGGGGACUAAUACCGGAUGGGUAAUCGGAAGGCAUCUUCUGAUUAUUAAAGGUUAAAAACACUGGUGGAUGGGCUUAUGGCGCAUUAGUUAGUUGGUGAGGUAACGGCCCACCAAGACGAUGAUGCGUAGCCGGCCUGAGAGGGUGAACGGCCACAUUGGGACUGAGACACGGCCCAGACUCCUACGGGAGGCAGCAGUAGGGAAUUUUCGGCAAUGGGGGAAACCCUGACCGAGCAACGCCGCGUGAGUGAUGACGGCCUUCGGGUUGUAAAGCUCUGUUGUAAGGGAAGAACGGUAGAUAGAGAAUAUCUAAAUGACGGUACCUUACCAGAAAGCCACGGCUAACUACGUG
RNAcentral lists this ribosomal RNA (486 nucleotides) under uncultured bacterium. RNAcentral's name for it is "partial 16S ribosomal RNA". It matches the Rfam family "Bacterial small subunit ribosomal RNA", at positions 28 to 507 of the family's 1533-position model. The record is from RNAcentral.